GACGAACGCUGGCGGCGUGCCUAAUACAUGCAAGUUGAGCGCUGAAGGUUGGUACUUGUACCAACUGGAUGAGCAGCGAACGGGUGAGUAACGCGUGGGGAAUCUGCCUUUGAGCGGGGGACAACAUUUGGAAACGAAUGCUAAUACCGCAUAAAAACUUUAAACACAAGUUUUAAGUUUGAAAGAUGCAAUUGCAUCACUCAAAGAUGAUCCCGCGUUGUAUUAGCUAGUUGGUGAGGUAAAGGCUCACCAAUGCGAUGAUACAUAGCCGACCUGAGAGGGGGAGGAGCCAAAUUGGGACUGGGACCGGGCCCAAACACCUACGGGAGGCGGCAGUGGGGAAUCUUGGGCAAUGGACGAAAGUCUGCCCGAGCAAGGCCGCGGAAGUGAAAAAGUUUUUCGGAUCAUAAACCUCUGUUGGUAGGGAAGAACGUGGGUAGGAGUGGAAAGCACAUCCAGGGGGGGAAAAAACCGAGAAAGGGGGGGCAAACUACAU
This 496-nucleotide ribosomal RNA is filed under the name uncultured bacterium. RNAcentral describes it as "partial 16S ribosomal RNA". It matches the Rfam family "Bacterial small subunit ribosomal RNA", at positions 28 to 506 of the family's 1533-position model. The record is from RNAcentral.